Molecule: ribosomal RNA, 760 nt
Filed under: uncultured Burkholderiales bacterium
Lineage: Bacteria; Pseudomonadati; Pseudomonadota; Betaproteobacteria; Burkholderiales
Description: SSU rRNA
Rfam family: Bacterial small subunit ribosomal RNA
Source: RNAcentral
GAACGGCAGCACGGACUUCGGUCUGGUGGCGAGUGGCGAACGGGUGAGUAAUGUAUCGGAGCGUGCCCGGUAGCGGGGGAUAACUACGCGAAAGCGUAGCUAAUACCGCACACGCCCUACGGGGGAAAGCAGGGGAUCGCAAGACCUUGCACUAUUGGAGCGGCCGAUAUCGGAUUAGCUAGUUGGUGGGGUAACGGCUCACCAAGGCGACGAUCCGUAGCUGGUUUGAGAGGACGACCAGCCACACUGGGACUGAGACACGGCCCAGACUCCUACGGGAGGCAGCAGUGGGGAAUUUUAGACAAUGGGGGAAACCCUGAUCCAGCCAUCCCGCGUGUGCGAUGAAGGCCUUCGGGUUGUAAAGCACUUUUGGCAGGAAAGAAACGUCAUGGGCUAAUACCCCGUGAAACUGACGGUACCUGCAGAAUAAGCACCGGCUAACUACGUGCCAGCAGCCGCGGUAAUACGUAGGGUGCAAGCGUUAAUCGGAAUUACUGGGCGUAAAGCGUGCGCAGGCGGUUCGGAAAGAAAGAUGUGAAAUCCCAGAGCUUAACUUUGGAACUGCAUUUUUAACUACCGAGCUAGAGUGUGUCAGAGGGAGGUGGAAUUCCGCGUGUAGCAGUGAAAUGCGUAGAUAUGCGGAGGAACACCGAUGGCGAAGGCAGCUUCCUGGGAUAACACUGACGCUCAUGCACGAAAGCGUGGGGAGCAAACAGGAUUAGAUANCCUGGUAGUCCACGCCCUAAACGAUGUCAACUAG